Molecule: long non-coding RNA, 1453 nt
Filed under: Rhinopithecus bieti (black snub-nosed monkey)
Lineage: Eukaryota; Metazoa; Chordata; Mammalia; Primates; Cercopithecidae
Description: lncRNA (ENSRBIG00000046469.1)
Source: RNAcentral
AUGUCACUGGUGUCUCAGUGGGAUUCGGCUUAUCUUCUGCUUGUGACACCCUCAUCUCCCAGCCUUCGGCACCUAAUUCCUGAAUGUAAGAUGGAACAGACACCUGAAAGUCUUCCUCAGAAUAACAAUCCAGAUUCUGACAGAACAUCAGAAGUAUAUCUACAUGAGGAAUUACAGCAAGACAUACAAAAGUUUAAGAAUGAGGUCAACACGUUAGAAGAAGAGUUCCUGGCUUUGAAGAAAGAAACUGUUCAACUUCAGAAAGAGGUUGAAGAAGAAAUGGAGAAGCACAGAAGUAAUAGAACAGAAUUAACAGGAACCCUAACUGAUGGUGCUACUGUUGGCAGUGAUGAUGAUGGACUAAAUCAGCAGAUUCCUAGGAAGGAGAAUGGAGAGCAUGACAGGUAAGUCUACAGCAACAUUUAACAGGAGACAAUUGGCCAGGCACAGUGGCUCAAGCCUGUAAUCCAGCACUUUGGGAGGCCAAGGCAGGUGAAUCACCUGAGGUCGGGAGUUCAAGACCAGCCUGACCAACAUGGAGAAACCCUGUGUCUACUAAAACUGCAGAAUUAGCCAGGUGUAGUGGUGCGUUCCUGUAAUCCCAGUUACUCAGGAGGCCGAGGCAAGAGAAUCGCUUGAACCCGGGAGGCAGAAGCUGUGGGAGGCAGAGUUUGCGGUGAACCGUGGUCAUACCAUUGCACUCCAGCCUGGGCAACAAGAGUGAAACUCCAUCUCAAAAAAAAAAAAAAAAAAAAAAAAAAAAACAGAAACAAAAACAAAAAACAGGAGACAAUUAUGUGCUAUGAAAUGAAUUCUAAUUUGGGCUAAUAUUCAUGAUGAACAAAUUUUAUACUUUUACUAGGAUAUUCAGCCUUCCUUGGUUCUCAGAAAAAUGCAAACAAUGAGAUACCAUGUUUUCCAAUCAUAUUGAUAUUUUAUUUAAUAAAUAGGAAGUAUUGGCAAAUGUGAGAAAAGACAUUUUAUACACUGCUGUUAAAUGAAAUUGAUGAAUCCUUUUUGCAGGGUAAUUUAGUAGCAUGUAUCAAAAUUUCAAAUACGUCACUUCUUUAACCUAACUUCACUUUUGGGAUGUGAUCCUACAGGAAAAUAUGACUUGUGUAAACACAUACACAUAUGUGUUAAAGACAUUACAUGUAGUAUAUAACAUACAAUAGGCUAAUCGGUUAAAUAUAUAUAAUAAGUAUAUAUGAUAUAUUUAUGUUAAGGAUAUUUAUAUAUGUUUCAUAUAUACUUAUGUAUAAGGAUAUUUAUUAUAGCAUUGUAAUAUCAAAAAGUUGGAGAUCGUCAAAAUCCUUAGCAAUAAGGAAAUAGUACAAUUGUCAUACCCAGAAAAUAAUGUAGUAUGCAAUCAUUUUAAUAAAAUAAGUUGUUAGACCUGGAGUGUGCUUAUUAUUUCACAAUUAAAGUCUGUUUAAAGGCUUUGGUUUAAUGA